CCUACGGGAGGCAGCAGUAGGGAAUUUUGCGCAAUGGGCGAAAGCCUGACGCAGCAACUCCGCGUGAAGGAAGAAGGCUUUCGGGUUGUAAACUUCUUUUGUCAGGGAAGAGUAGAAGACGGUACCUGACGAAUAAGCCACGGCUAACUACGUGCCAGCAGCCGAGGUAAUACGUAGGUGGCAAGCGUUGUCCGGAGUUACUGGGUGUAAAGGGCGUGUAGCCGGGUUGACAAGUCAGAUGUGAAAUCCUGCGGCUUAACCGCAGAACUGCAUUUGAAACUGGUGAUCGUGAGUACUGGAGAGGCAGACGGAAUGCCUAGUGUAGCGGUGAAAUGCGUAGAUAUUAGGAGGAACACCAGUGGCGAAGGCGGUCUGCUGGACAGCAACUGACGGUGAGGCGCGAAAGCGUGGGGAGCAAACAGGAUUAGAUACCCGAGUAGUC
This 442-nucleotide ribosomal RNA is filed under the name uncultured bacterium. Its description in RNAcentral is "partial 16S ribosomal RNA". It matches the Rfam family "Bacterial small subunit ribosomal RNA", at positions 338 to 795 of the family's 1533-position model. The record is from RNAcentral.